GGAGGGUGCAAGCGUUAAUCGGAAUUACUGGGCGUAAAGCGCGCGCAGGCGGCUGGGUCAGUCGGAUGUGAAAGCCCCGGGGCUUAACCUGGGAAUUGCAUUCGAUACUGCCCGGCUAGAGUAUGGGAGAGGGAAGUGGAAUUUCCGGUGUAGCGGUGAAAUGCGUAGAUAUCGGAAGGAACACCAGUGGCGAAGGCGGCUUCCUGGCCCAAUACUGACGCUCAGGUGCGAAAGCGUGGGGAGCGAACAGGAUUAGAUACCCUGGUAGUCCACGCUGUAAACGAUGAGAACUAGAUGUUGGGAGGGUUAGCCUCUCAGUGUCGCAGCUAACGCGUUAAGUUCUCCGCCUGGGGAGUACGACCGCAAGGUUG
This 371-nucleotide ribosomal RNA is filed under the name uncultured organism. RNAcentral's name for it is "partial 16S ribosomal RNA". It matches the Rfam family "Bacterial small subunit ribosomal RNA", at positions 527 to 896 of the family's 1533-position model. The record is from RNAcentral.